RNAcentral lists this ribosomal RNA (292 nucleotides) under uncultured bacterium. Its description in RNAcentral is "partial 16S ribosomal RNA". It matches the Rfam family "Bacterial small subunit ribosomal RNA", at positions 505 to 796 of the family's 1533-position model. The record is from RNAcentral.
GUGUCAGCCGCCGCGGUAAUACGUAGGUGGCAAGCGUUGUCCGGAUUUACUGGGCGUAAAGAGCCCGCAGGCGGUCCAAUAAGUUCUUGGUGAAAUCUCCUGGCUCAACUGGGAGGGUGCCUGGAAAACUAUUGGACUUGAGGCAGGGAGAGGGAUGUGGAAUUCCCGGUGUAGUGGUGAAAUGCGUAGAUAUCGGGAGGAACACCAGUGGCGAAGGCGGCAUCCUGGCCCUGUCCUGACGCUCAGGGGCGAAAGCGUGGGGAGCAAACCGGAUUAGAUACCCCUGUAGUCC